GUCCCUACGGGGCGCAGCAGUGGGGAAUAUUGGGCAAUGGGCGCAAGCCUGACCCAGCAACGCCGCGUGAAGGAAGAAGGCUUUCGGGUUGUAAACUUCUUUUAUCAGGGACGAAGCAAGUGACGGUACCUGAUGAAUAAGCCACGGCUAACUACGUGCCAGCAGCCGCGGUAAUACGUAGGUGGCAAGCGUUGUCCGGAAUCACUGGGCGUAAAGGGCGCGUAGGCGGUAAUAUAAGUUAGAUGUGAAAGGUGGGGGCUCGACCCCUAGAGUGCGACUGAUACUGUAUAACUUGAGUGUGAGAG
Molecule: ribosomal RNA, 305 nt
Filed under: uncultured bacterium
Lineage: Bacteria
Description: bacterial SSU rRNA
Rfam family: Bacterial small subunit ribosomal RNA
Source: RNAcentral